GACACGUGGUAUCCUGUCUGAAUAUGGGGGGACCAUCCUCCAAGGCUAAAUACUCCUGACUGACCGAUAGUGAACCAGUACCGUGAGGGAAAGGCGAAAAGAACCCCGGCGAGGGGAGUGAAAAAGAACCUGAAACCGUGUACGUACAAGCAGUGGGAGCACAGGUUUACCUGUGUGACUGCGUACCUUUUGUAUAAUGGGUCAGCGACUUAUAUUCUGUAGCAAGGUUAACCGUAUAGGGGAGCCGYAGGGAAACCGAGUCUUAACCGGGCGUUAAGUUGCAGGGUAUAGACCCGAAACCCGGUGAUCUAGCCAUGGGCAGGUUGAAGGUUGGGUAACACUAACUGGAGGACCGAACCGACUAAUGUUGAAAAAUUAGCGGAUGACCUGUGGCUGGGGGUGAAAGGCCAAUCAAACCGGGAGAUAGCUGGUUCUCCCCGAAAGCUAUUUAGGUAGCGCCUCGUGAAYUCAUCUCCGGGGGUAGAGCACUGUUUCGGCUAGGGGGCCAUCCCGGCUU
This 517-nucleotide ribosomal RNA is filed under the name Salmonella enterica. Its description in RNAcentral is "partial 23S ribosomal RNA". The record is from RNAcentral. Lineage: Bacteria; Pseudomonadati; Pseudomonadota; Gammaproteobacteria; Enterobacterales; Enterobacteriaceae.